UUAUAGCUUUCACUGUAAACACAACAAACCUCCUGUAACUAGGAAUUUUUUAUAACUUCAGAAGCUGACUUACUUAAUAACUUAUAAAUGAAUAUCUCUGUGUUUUCGAGUGACAACUCAAAGCAGUUUGGAGGCCAACCUUGAGCUUUCCAGAUCUUCUAUGUUAUGAGUGUUUUUUAAAUGAUAGUCACUGUUCUUUUAGGCUUACACAACAUCAAAAAGAUAAAUGUGGAUCUUCUAGCUUAUGUGAAAUUCAACAAGCAGCUUUUAAAUGUCCAUAUGCUCCAUAAAUAGCAACAUCUCGAUAAAUGUAAAUCUCUGUCCAACAGAUCCCUCAGGGGAGACGAGUGGUUCUGGAUGUCUGGACAGUCCAUGAAUUUCUUGAAUUGGCCACAAGAUUUUGUUCCUGACAGCUACUCCAGCACAUGUGGGGGCAUGACCAGCAGAGAGCACCUCCUGUGGCAGGACCAGCCCUGUGAGGAGAACCUCAACUUCAUCUGCCAAUCAGGUGGAGACUGCCAACUGGCUGGUUUAAAGAAGUUCCCGUGUGAAUUGGAUCUUAACCUGCAGCUGGCAGCCACCUCGGCCCUCUGCUUGCCUCCUCUGCACCUAACAACAAGCUGAGUUCUACUUAAUGAAAUCUUUGUAAAUAGUGAAUUAAAAGGCUAUCUUGUGCUAAAUGCUUAUCCACUGUACAGACUGAGCUCCCUAAAACGACUGACGUAGGCGUGAGAACAGUUUUCUGUUGAAAUCCUUUCCCUCUUGUUUAUCUAGUUUAGAGAACUGGUAUUGGUUUGCCUUUUUUUUAAAUUAGGGAAAUUAGACGCUUCAGUUUGUUGUUUUGGCUUUGCUCACAUGCAAGACAAACAAACACCUCCUUAGACUCUUGAAUUGCACUGCAUUGGUUCUUUUUUCUUCACUGUGGUACGAGUGACGUUUGAGACUUUCAAGCCACACAUCAACAAAUGCAUGCUGCAUUCAUAUCCUGGAGGAAAACUGGGGUUUUUUGGUGUACUGCUAUGUCCAUCAUAAAUAAAUAAAUUUUUUGUCCUCUUAGCUAAAAAAAAUAACUAUAAACUAUAGAAAAUAACUCCUUGGAACCAAAGUCCAACAGGUUAAACUUCAUAGGCUAUGUUAAGCAUUGUGUUUGCUCUGUCCGACAGAUCCCUGAGAGGAAACAACUGGUUCUGAUGAAUUAUUGUGAAUUAUUGUGUGUAUUCUGUAUACUGAAAUGCAUGUUUUAUUAGAUAGAACGAGAUUUUAAUUUGAUGUCUUUCAUUGUUGUAAUGGUGUGCAUAAUUCCUUGUAAGGCUGUAAGAUGUUUCUGCACCAAAUGGAAUCUGGCUGUGAUUCCUGAACAGUUAAAUCAUUAUAACUGAAAGUCUGAUUUAAAUGUUUUAGUAGUGAUGCACAGAGGCAGAAUAAAACAAAAUGUCACUGUCUAAAGACUUACGCUGUGUUGUUGUUUUAUAUCCAAUGACCCAGUUCUAAAAGGCCGUGCUUUGAAACAGUUGCACAUAGAAAGCAUCGUGAGUGCAGAACAUGAGGGCACAUUCUCUCAAUUGUAUCUUGCAUUACUUUAGGUGUGGCGCAGUCCUGUAACUUAAAAGGAACAGGUUUAAGUAACGUGUGUUGACAAGUGUCUAAUAUAAACUGAGUGACGACGAACACACCCAAAGUUUGAAAAUGGCCUGACCUGGUCCUGCCUGUUCUCCUUGCCUGGUGUCUCUGCCAUGUGUAGGCUCAGGCACUCCUUUGAAAUGACACUCCUCUAAUUUACAGUGCAUUGUAUUAUUGCUGCUAUUAUUAUCAUUAUUAUUAUUAUUAUUAUUGGUAGUAGUAAUACUAGUAUUAGUAUUAGUAUUAUUUAAUCUAUAGAUCUUUAAAGUCUUUUGUCCUGCACAUCUAACACAAUCACGUGUGUUAUUAAAAAGACUAAAGAUAUCUCCUCAGUGUUUUUAUUUUAGUUAUUUUUCUAGUCCAGUUAGUUUUUCUUUUCUUUUUUUAAUGUCAAGCUUUAUUUAUAUUUAUUUUCAUAAACUAACAUGUUUUUUUCACAUCAGAUUUUAAAUUUCAGUUUAGUUUUUGUUACCUACAAUACACCAUAUUGCCAAACGUAUUCACUCACCCAUCUAAAUGAUUGAAUUCAUGUGUUCCAAUCACAGGUGUACAAAAUGAAGCAGCUAGGCCUGCAGACUGCUUCUACAAACGUUUGUGAAAGACUGCGCUCG
Molecule: long non-coding RNA, 2231 nt
Filed under: Oreochromis niloticus (Nile tilapia)
Lineage: Eukaryota; Metazoa; Chordata; Actinopteri; Cichliformes; Cichlidae
Description: lncRNA (ENSONIG00000028058.1)
Source: RNAcentral